Molecule: ribosomal RNA, 168 nt
Filed under: uncultured rumen archaeon
Lineage: Archaea
Description: partial 16S ribosomal RNA
Source: RNAcentral
AUAGCUUGCAUCGAAUUCCUAGUGAUUUCUGUUUGAUCCUGGCGGAGGUGACAGCCGAGCGCGAGCAGCGCCGCCGUCGCAACGUAGCACGCGUCCGCGCCGAGCGCGACCGCUUUUACGACGUCCGCCGCCGAGCGUAUCGAGCCGCCGGCAACGAGCGAGACCCAA